This 402-nucleotide ribosomal RNA is filed under the name bacterium. RNAcentral's name for it is "partial 16S ribosomal RNA". It matches the Rfam family "Bacterial small subunit ribosomal RNA", at positions 355 to 776 of the family's 1533-position model. The record is from RNAcentral.
UGGGGAAUUUUGCACAAUGGGGGAAACCCUGAUGCAGCGACGCCGCGUGAUUUAGAAGGCCUUCGGGUUGUAAAAAUCUUUUCUAUGGGAAGAAAAUGACAGUACCAUAGGAAUAAGGACCGGCUAAUUACGUGCCAGCAGCCGCGGUAAUACGUAAGGUCCGAGCGUUGUCCGGAAUCAUUGGGCGUAAAGGGUACGUAGGCGGGUAAGCAAGUUAGAAGUUAAAUCCUAUAGCUCAACUAUAGUAAGCUUUUAAAACUGCUCAUCUUGAGGUAUGGAAGGGAAAGUGGAAUUCCUGGUGUAGCGGUGAAAUGCGCAGAUAUUAGGAGGAAUACAGGUGGCGAAGGCGACUUUCUGGCCAUACCCUGACGCUGAGGUACGAAAGCGUGGGUAGCACACAGG